Molecule: ribosomal RNA, 397 nt
Filed under: uncultured bacterium
Lineage: Bacteria
Description: partial 16S ribosomal RNA
Rfam family: Bacterial small subunit ribosomal RNA
Source: RNAcentral
AUACGUAGGGGGCGAGCGUUGUCCGGAAUGAUUGGGCGUAAAGGGCGCGUAGGCGGCGCGGUAAGUCUGGAGUGAAAGUCCUGCUUUCAAGGUGGGAAUUGCUUUGGAUACUGCCGCGCUUGAGUGCAGGAGAAGUUAUCGGAAUUCCCGGUGUAGCGGUGAAACGCGUAGAGAUCGGGAGGAACACCAGUGGCGAAGGCGGGUAACUGGACUGCAACUGACGCUGAGGCGCGAAAGUGUGGGGAGCAAACAGGAUUAGAUACCCUGGUAGUCCACACCGUAAACGAUGAAUGCUAGGUGUAAGAGGUAUCGACCCCUUUUGUGCCGGAGUCAACACAAUAAGCAUUCCGCCUGGGGGGUACGGCCGCAAGGUUGAAACUCAAAUGAAUUGACGGGG